UACGGAGGGUGCAAACGUUGCUCGGAAUCAUUGGGCGUAAAGCGCACGUAGGCGGCCUGAUAAGUCGGGUGUGAAAGCCCUGGGCUCAACCCAGGAAGUGCACUCGAAACUGUCAGGCUUGAAUAUGGAAGAGGGUCGCGGAAUUCCCGGUGUAGAGGUGAAAUUCGUAGAUAUCGGGAGGAACACCAGUGGCGAAGGCGGCGACCUGGGCCAAUAUUGGACGCUGAGGUGCGAAAGCUAGGGGAGCAAACGG
This 253-nucleotide ribosomal RNA is filed under the name uncultured bacterium. Its description in RNAcentral is "partial 16S ribosomal RNA". It matches the Rfam family "Bacterial small subunit ribosomal RNA", at positions 524 to 775 of the family's 1533-position model. The record is from RNAcentral.